AUGGCCGAAGAGAAACCCAAGGAAGGAGUCAAGACUGAGAACAACGAUCAUAUUAAUUUGAAGGUGGCGGGACAGGAUGGUUCUGUGGUGCAGUUUAAGAUUAAGAGGCAUACACCACUUAGUAAACUAAUGAAAGCCUAUUGUGAACGGCAGUUGGAAAUGGAGGAUGAAGAUACGAUUGAUGUGUUCCAGCAGCAGACUGGAGGUGUCUACUAA
This 216-nucleotide long non-coding RNA is filed under the name Mus musculus (house mouse). Its description in RNAcentral is "long non-coding RNA chr5:24256821-24257037". The record is from RNAcentral. Lineage: Eukaryota; Metazoa; Chordata; Mammalia; Rodentia; Muridae.